Molecule: long non-coding RNA, 252 nt
Filed under: Ananas comosus (pineapple)
Lineage: Eukaryota; Viridiplantae; Streptophyta; Magnoliopsida; Poales; Bromeliaceae
Description: long non-coding RNA (ACOM_LNC035531)
Source: RNAcentral
AUAUAUAAUUUAUUCGGAUUUGGAUUCGGAUAAUAUUUCGGAUAUCCAUAUCUAUUGACAUCACUACUUUCUAUAAAAAAAAUACGUACUAAACACGGUGAAUCAUUCGAGCACCGUGAAUGAUUCACCGUAUUCAACUUAACAUAUGAGUUUCGGCCCUGCCAUUUUUGCAAAUUAAAUUUUGACAGGAUAAAAUUUGCCAGGAGGCUAAAUGCAAAAUAAAACCCAUUGCUUCUUAUUACCUUAGAUAUA